Molecule: ribosomal RNA, 594 nt
Filed under: uncultured fungus
Lineage: Eukaryota; Fungi
Description: eukaryotic LSU rRNA
Rfam family: Eukaryotic large subunit ribosomal RNA
Source: RNAcentral
ACCCGCUGAACUUAAGCAUAUCAAUAAGCGGAGGAAAAGAAACUAACAAGGAUUCCCCUAGUAACGGCGAGUGAAGCGGGAACAGCUCAAAUUUGAAAUCUCACAGGGUUACCUGUGCGAAUUGUAGUUUAUAGAAACGUUUUCGGGGGUGGCUCUGGCAUAAGUCCUUUGGAAUAAGGCAUCAUAGAGGGUGAGAAUCCCGUUUAUGGUCAGGUGUCCGCUUCUAUGUGAUACGUUUUCUAAGAGUCGGUUUGUUUGGGAAUGCAGACCAAAAUGGGUGGUAAAUACCAUCUAAAGCUAAAUAUUGGCGAGAGACCGAUAGCGAACAAGUACCGUGAGGGAAAGAUGAAAAGAACUUUGAAAAGAGAGUUAAAAGUACGUGAAAUUGUCAAAAGGGAAACGCUUGAAACCAGUAUUGCGUUCAGGUAAUCAGCCGUUCCUUCUGGGGCGGUGCACUUGCCUGUUUGCGGGUCAACAUCAGUUUGGUUCGGGAUAAAAAGCCUUGAGAAGGUAGCCCUUCGGGGUGUUAUAGCUCUUGGUCAUGUCUCGGGCUGGACUGAGGUCUGCAGUGUUAUUUGGGUAGCCAGUCGCCUC